AUACGUAGGUGGCAAGCGUUGUCCGGAAUUAUUGGGCGUAAAGCGCAUGUAGGCGGUUUGGUAAGUCGGUCGUGAAAAUGCGGUGCUUAACGCCGUAUGGCGAUUGAAACUGCUGAACUUGAGUGCAGGAGAGGAAAGGGGAACUCCCAGUGUAGCGGUGAAAUGCGUAGAUAUUGGGAAGAACACCGGUGGCGAAGGCGCCUUUCUGGACUGUGUCGGACGCUCAGAUGCGAAAGCCAGGGUAGCGAACGGGAUUAGAUCCCCCGUUAGUCCUGGCCGUAAACGAGGGGUACUAGGUGUGGGAGGUAUCGACUCCUUCCGUGCCGGAGUUAACGCAAUAAGUACCCCGCCUGGGGAGUACGGCCGCAAGGCUUAAACUCAAAUGAAUUGACGGGG
Molecule: ribosomal RNA, 396 nt
Filed under: uncultured bacterium
Lineage: Bacteria
Description: partial 16S ribosomal RNA
Rfam family: Bacterial small subunit ribosomal RNA
Source: RNAcentral